UGCAAUGCGGAGCUACCAUGCAAGUCGUACGAGAAGGUUCCUUCGGGAACUGGAGAGUGGCGCACGGGUGAGUAACGCGUGGGGACCUACCUCUUAGUGGGGGAUAACGGUUGGAAACGACCGCUAAUACCGCAUACGCCCUUCGGGGGAAAGAUUUAUCGCUAAGAGAUGGACCCGCGUUGGAUUAGAUAGUUGGUGAGGUAACGGCUCACCAAGUCAGCGAUCCAUAGCUGGUUUGAGAGGAUGAUCAGCCACACUGGGACUGAGACACGGCCCAGACUCCUACGGGAGGCAGCAGUGGGGAAUAUUGGACAAUGGGCGCAAGCCUGAUCCAGCCAUGCCGCGUGAGUGAAGAAGGCCUUCGGGUUGUAAAGCUCUUUCAGAUGCGAAGAUGAUGACGGUAACAUCAGAAGAAGCCCCGGCUAAUUUCGUGCCAGCAGCCGCGGUAAUACGAAAGGGGCAAGCGUUGUUCGGAUUUACUGGGCGUAAAGGGCACGCAGGCGGUCCUGCCAGUCAGG
Molecule: ribosomal RNA, 518 nt
Filed under: Thalassospira sp.
Lineage: Bacteria; Pseudomonadati; Pseudomonadota; Alphaproteobacteria; Rhodospirillales; Thalassospiraceae
Description: bacterial SSU rRNA
Rfam family: Bacterial small subunit ribosomal RNA
Source: RNAcentral